UGCGGAUGCUAACGCAAUGUG
Molecule: small RNA, 21 nt
Filed under: Arabidopsis thaliana (thale cress)
Lineage: Eukaryota; Viridiplantae; Streptophyta; Magnoliopsida; Brassicales; Brassicaceae
Description: AGO1_1843
Source: RNAcentral